RNAcentral lists this long non-coding RNA (1954 nucleotides) under Macaca fascicularis (crab-eating macaque). RNAcentral's name for it is "lncRNA (ENSMFAG00000053534.1)". The record is from RNAcentral. Lineage: Eukaryota; Metazoa; Chordata; Mammalia; Primates; Cercopithecidae.
GGAUGACAGCCACGUGAUGAUUAGGGAAGGACGGAUGCAUUGCUGUUCUACUUACACAUCGGGUAUCAAAGCGAGUCUCUUGUUGGAACCAUGAUGCUUGAUCUCCUUUGAGGCCGUUUGCACUGGGGCUUGAGUUUCCAAGACGCACAACAGGUGUCAGCCUCUGAGAACCCUCAAAGCAUGUGUUCUUCAACCUGGCAAAUUGUUUCCUCUCAUGGGGGAAGCUGAGCUCUGAUGAACUUGAGAAUUACACCUCUCUCAUGCCGAAGACCAUGGUGUUCCCCCUAACCACAGCCUUUCUUGCUAUCUGAGACCAAAUGUCUAGCUGGUAGACAGGUGGAUGUUUGGCCUCCUAAGGACACACUUCUGAUCCUGGGCCCCAGGUGGCGAAUCUCUGGCAUGUGGCUUGGCUUUGUUGAGACUCCAAAUUCCAUUAUCUUCAUGACAUUCAGCCUCAUUCAUAGGAUCCUGAAGCUGCAAUCCACAGUUCAGAAAGGAGAGGUGAGACCUCCCUCCAACCUGGUGCCACAGGUCACUCCCAAGCCACAUCUAGCCUGGAUGAGCUGGGACCCCAGAAUCUGCCUUUUGGGAGGCAGCAACGGCAGCGCGCCCAGGCAGGCACUUAUUCCUGCAGAGUGAGCCAGAAUCGUAGCAGGGCACUUGAACGCAGAGCUGAUGAUGUGAAGCCAACGUUCACCCAAGUUGUCAGAAAUGGCCACUUACAUGGUUCGAUCUUGCUGGGGACAAGUGGACAACUGGGGGUCACUGGCAGAGAUGGAAUUACAUGAAACAUUCACAGCAGGAGGCCAGCAGGUCUGGGGCAACAUGGGCAAUCGCCAAUGUCUCUUUUGGUUUAAAUUAUGCCAUCAUAUCCCUCUUUCAUCCGUGAGGCUCCCCAUCCCUGACAGCCAGAUGAGCAUUUGGAGCUGGUUUCUCAACAUGAGGAUGGGUUGGUUGUUAAAUUAACAACCUCCACAGUGUCAGAUUGGGUGAGCUUUGUCUGCUGGAAAAACCCAAAAUAUCAACUCUGCUUCAAGGGUGGACAAGAACAGAAGGCGGAGACUUGGCAGAGAGACUCGAGUUGAUUGUCACAGGCUACAGAGGGGCCAGCUCCAGGACAGUGGCCCGCUACAUCCUGUCCGAGCAGCCCGAGUGUGGUCUUGGUCCCUGCAGGGCGAUGUGGCAUCCGGACCUGGGGACGAAGUGGAUGUGCUUCUUGGAAAGCUGUUGCAGCCUGUACCUGUGGGUGCAGAGGGCACCUGCCCGGUAGACUCUCAGCUUUAUCACCCCCAGGAGCCUCUGCGAGGCCCCUUUGUCCUUGGCUGAGCGAGACCUUUCUUUGAGAAAUCUGUCUGUCUGUCUGUCAGCAUCGCUGUUUUCAGACCUCAGGCUGCAGAGGAGGGGAGAAGCCACACAAUAAUCUGGACCCAGUAAAGUGGAGAGAAGGGCGUCUCUACACAGCCCGGCCAGGGAGGAGGGCCCCAGAACAGGGAUCCAAAAGCUUGACGUCACUGAACAGGGCUGGGUCCUGGCAGAACAGGAAGGUUUGGCCAGAGGUGACCUCAGCAUUCCCUCCAGGGGCACCCAGGCCUCUCAAACCUGGGGGGAAGAAGGCACAUGCUCAGGCCCACCUUCCCCUUCCCAUCAGAGCCCAUGCAUCCUGGGCACCACCACUUCCACUCUGCAUUCCGAGGCUCCGGAGGGCUCUUCCUGCUGUGAAUGGAAAGGAGAAGAAACCCUGUGGGCAAUGGCAGCCUCUGAGUCUGGCAUUCUUGCCGAUGGCUGGCCAGCCAGGAGAAUCUCCCAAGCCCUGACACACGCAGGCCUUUUGUGGCUGCGGAGGAAAUGGGAUGGCUCUGAACAAAGACACGGUUCCUAGGGCCGUGGCCCCAAAUCACUUCCCCGAGAGUGAAUUUUAACACUGUAACAAUAAAUACUACUGCACAGCACUUUA